GGAGGGUGCGAGCGUUAAUCGGAAUUACUGGGCGUAAAGCGCGCGUAGGCGGUUUGUUAAGUCAGCUGUGAAAGCCCCGGGCUUAACCUGGGAACUGCAGUUGAUACUGGCCGACUAGAGUACGAGAGAGGGAGGUAGAAUUCCAUGUGUAGCGGUGAAAUGCGUAGAUAUAUGGAGGAAUACCGGUGGCGAAGGCGGCCUCCUGGCUCGAUACUGACGCUGAGGUGCGAAAGCGUGGGGAUCAAACAGGAUUAGAUACCCUGGUAGUCCACGCCGUAAACGAUGUCUACUAGCCGUUGGGAGACUUGAUUUCUUAGUGGCGCAGCUAACGCAAUAAGUAGACCGCCUGGGGAGUACGGCCGCAAGGUUA
Molecule: ribosomal RNA, 370 nt
Filed under: uncultured bacterium
Lineage: Bacteria
Description: bacterial SSU rRNA
Rfam family: Bacterial small subunit ribosomal RNA
Source: RNAcentral